RNAcentral lists this ribosomal RNA (407 nucleotides) under uncultured bacterium. RNAcentral's name for it is "partial 16S ribosomal RNA". It matches the Rfam family "Bacterial small subunit ribosomal RNA", at positions 28 to 526 of the family's 1533-position model. The record is from RNAcentral.
GACGAACGCUGGCGGCGUGCCUAAUACAUGCAAGUAGAACGCAGUUGCGAACGGGUGAGUAACGCGUAGGUAACUUCCUGGUAGCGGGGGAUUACUAUUGGAAACGAUAGCUAAUACCGCAUACUACUAGAUGGACCUGCGUGGUAUUGGGUAGUUGGUGGGGUCACGGCUCACCAAGGCCACGAUACAUAGCCGACCUGAGAGGGUGAACGGCCAAACUGGGACUGAGACACGGCCCAGACUCCUACGGGAGGCAGCAGGAGGGAAUCUUCGGCAAUGGACGGAAGUCUGACCGAGCAACGCCGCGUGAGUGAAGAAGGUCUUCGGGUCGUAAAGCUCUGUUGUAAGAGAAGCGGUAUCUUAACAGAAAGGGACGGCUAACUACGUGCCAGCAGCCGCGGUAAUUC